This 430-nucleotide ribosomal RNA is filed under the name uncultured bacterium. RNAcentral's name for it is "bacterial SSU rRNA". It matches the Rfam family "Bacterial small subunit ribosomal RNA", at positions 8 to 429 of the family's 1533-position model. The record is from RNAcentral.
AGAGUUUGAUCCUGGCUCAGGAUGAACGCUGGCGGCGUGCCUAACACAUGCAAGUCGAACGCGCUCCAUUCGGUAGCAAUACCGAUGAAGAGCGAGUGGCGAACGGGUGAGUAACACAUGAGCAACCUGCCCCGAAGACUGGGACAACACCGGGAAACCGGUGCUAAUACCGGAUAUCCCUAUCGGACCGCAUGAUCUGAUAAGGAAAUGGAUUCCGCUUCGGGAGGGGCUCGUGGCCUAUCAGCUAGUUGGUGAGGUAACGGCUCACCAAGGCAUCGACGGGUAGCUGGUCUGAGAGGACGAUCAGCCACACUGGGACUGAGACACGGCCCAGACUCCUACGGGAGGCAGCAGUGGGGAAUCUUGCGCAAUGGGCGAAAGCCUGACGCAGCAACGCCGCGUGGAGGACGAAUGCUUUCUGAGUUGUAAA